GAUAAAUAGCAAAGAAAGAGAUCCACCACCAAUUUUUUCCAUAUUGGUUACUCAUAUCUGUAUAUCUCCAAUCUUGUUUAACUCCCAACUGCCAAUUUUCCCUUCUGAAGUAGCUAUGAAUCAUCCUAAUACUCCAAAUCCAUGUCAAAAUUGUCACAAUCCAUGACCUCAAUUGAUUGUAUUGUGCCAUGGGAAGAUUGGCAUAGAAAUGUAACAACAUUACUGGAAU
This 229-nucleotide long non-coding RNA is filed under the name Solanum melongena (eggplant). Its description in RNAcentral is "long non-coding RNA (SMEL_LNC000020)". The record is from RNAcentral. Lineage: Eukaryota; Viridiplantae; Streptophyta; Magnoliopsida; Solanales; Solanaceae.